Tympanuchus pallidicinctus (lesser prairie-chicken) is the source of this 4984-nucleotide RNA transcript. It is a transcript of the gene named PBX/knotted 1 homeobox 2, with no coding region annotated. The record is from RefSeq and is a predicted model, not a curated record. Lineage: Eukaryota; Metazoa; Chordata; Aves; Galliformes; Phasianidae. The transcript has 17 exons.
GUGGGCGGGGCUCUGCGCGGCGGGGCCGGGCGGGCGGCAGCGGCGGCGCGCUGUCAGGCCGGUGCCGGUGUGAUGAAGAUUGGCGGCAGGGAACUUUCUGAUGGCUGAGCAUUCCCUGCCCGCCGCCUGCCCGCACCUCCCGUCCCAACCCCAGGAGAUCUGCAGGGAUUCAGCGUCCGUCCCCCAGCCGCGGCCGAAGCGCAGGUGUAGACCCAAACUGUACCAAUAACCCACUCUGAGAUCCUGUGCUGGGGAGCUGUCAUUCCUGAGGAGCAGAAGGGGACGGGACAAGAUACAACUGUGGCUUUCCGCCUGUGGAUAUACUGGCAUCGAGCGCAUCUUCAUAUUCCAGGCACAUCUCGACUGUGACCCAUACUCAGAAGUUUUGCUUUUGUGGCUGUGGAACAUUUCGUGCAGUGGCUCCUCAAGCACCCACAGACGAGAUAUCCCUGGAGCAUUUUAGUCGGCAGCGGGGAUGGGUAUCUUCGGAGAGAAGAGAAAUAUUUAGCGGUUCUCAAUGUGACUCCUGCCCAGGAUGCACCAUGUCUCCCCGGCACCGGCUCUGACGAUGAUGGCCACCCAGACGGUGCCCCCUCCUCCCUACCAAGACAGCCCACAGAUGACGGCCACAGCCCAGCAGCCCAGCAAGGCUCAGCCCGUGCACCUCUCCACCGCGCCGGCUCCCACCGCAGCCGUGCCCCCCGCAGCCGGCGACCCGCAGGCGCAGCUGGAGGCCGACAAGCGAGCUGUCUACAGGCACCCGCUGUUCCCGCUGCUUACGCUGCUCUUUGAGAAGUGUGAGCAGGCAACCCAGGGCUCCGAGUGCAUCACCUCAGCCAGCUUCGACGUCGACAUUGAGAACUUUGUCCACCAGCAGGAGCAGGAGCACAAACCUUUCUUCAGUGAUGACCCUGAGCUGGACAACCUGAUGGUGAAGGCAAUCCAGGUGCUGCGCAUCCACCUCCUGGAGCUGGAGAAGGUCAACGAAUUGUGCAAGGACUUUUGCAACCGCUACAUCACCUGCCUCAAAACCAAGAUGCACAGUGACAACCUACUCAGGAACGACCUGGGGGGCCCCUACUCCCCCAACCCUUCCUCCAUCAGCCUCCACCCUCAGGAGAUGCUGCAGAGCUCACCUGCGGCGCUCCCGGCCACCUCCAACCCCCCCCCGGGCAUCGUGGUGCCUGCAGCUGCGCUGCCCCCGGGCAACCUGGCCAUGGGCAGCGGGGCUGGAUCGCCCGCUGUGCCAGGUGGAGCCCUGUACCAGCCCGUGACGAUGGUGACAUCUCAGGGCCAGGUCCUUGCCCAAGCCAUCGCCCCUGGUGCCCUGCAGAUCCCCAAUGCCCAGGUGAACCUGGAUCUCACCUCACUCCUUGAUGGCGAGGACAAGAAGUCCAAGAACAAGCGGGGCGUUCUGCCCAAACACGCCACCAACAUCAUGCGUUCCUGGCUCUUCCAGCACCUCAUGCACCCCUAUCCCACGGAGGAUGAGAAGAGGCAAAUUGCUGCCCAAACCAACCUGACCCUCUUGCAAGUCAAUAACUGGUUCAUCAAUGCCCGCCGGCGCAUCCUGCAACCAAUGCUUGAUGCCAGCAACCCAGACCCAGCCCCUAAAGCCAAGAAAAUCAAAUCUCAGCACCGGCCCACCCAGCGGUUCUGGCCCAACUCCAUCGCUGCUGGUGUCCUUCAGCAGCAAGGUGGCAAUUCGGGGACAAAUCCUGAUGGCUCCCUUGCCAUGGACAAUCUGCAGCCCCUCUCAUCAGCCACGGCCACCAUGGCCAUGCAGCAGGCCAUGCUUGCAGCUCACGAGGACUCCCUAGAUGGCACCGAGGAGGACGACGAUGAGGAGGAUGAGGAUGAGAUGGAGGAGGAGGAAGAGGAGGAAGAGGAGCUGGAGGAAGAGCCCGGUGGCCUCCCAGCUGCGCCUGGCGCUAACCUUGGCUUGGACCACAGUGACUCACUGGAGUAGCUCACCUUGCGUGCUCCCCAAAUCAUGGAUGGCGCCAGAAGCGACCUCUCCCAGAAUGGCAAAAAACAGCAAGAAAACAACAAAUUGGUGAGGAAAAAAUCUAACUGUGGAGGCCCUGACAGAUGCCCCAUCUGCCUGUGGGUGCACCGGGGCCACCACAUCAGCACAUGGCAGUGAAGGACACGUGUUUACAAGGCACAUAUUGUGGCCGGAUUUUUUUGAGGUUUUCUUUCAGGUUUUAUCCUUGUUUUCUCCCUUUUCCCUUCAUUUUUGGUAAUGAAAGCAUUUAUAGGGGAGGCUGUUUUCCCCACCGUGCUCAGAUGCCACCAUAGGCUGUUGCAUCCUCUUGGAUUUCUUGGUGCAAAAAAACCUCAACAGAAACAGGAUUGAUGUAUUUUUGGGGGAAGCUUCCACAAAAAAAGGUCAUUCAUAUAAACAUCAGCAUGUGGGAAAAAAUUGUCGAGUUCCCAAUUCUGCUUCCUAUCAGAUUGGAGGAAAGUUUCAUGCUUUUGACCCACAGGAUUGCUCACAUCCCCCUGUUUUGGCCCCAGUGCUGUGGCCAUUUGGUGACUCUACGUGCGACUUUCAGGAAAAGGGAGAAAGUCCCCAAACUAUUUAAUUUAUGUGCUAAAAACCCAACAAAUCUGGAAAAAAUAUUCAGCCUUGAACUUCAGGACUGAGACUGGAUGCAGUGUUGGGCUGGAUGUGAGGCUGAGUAAGACCUUUCCAGAGUUUUUUUGGUACCAAAUAGGAAUAAAAUAGCAGCCUUUCUCCGAAAAUUGAAUAGUGAUUUGCCCAGGAGGAAGGAAAUUCAAAAAGAUGGUAUCUCCCCAGUGUCAUCCACCUGUGCAGGAAAACAUUGGGUUUCUCACCCCCAGGUGCCACAAGUGAGCUGUUAGGGGGCAGCUGUACAAAAACACUGUGUUUGGGGGUUUCAAGUGGUAGCAAAAAGGCAAAUUCUGCCUUGAACUGUGAGAAUAAAAGCAGCCCAGGUAACACAGGGCAUCUUCUCAGUUCCGUGGGGGUUAAAAAAAAAAAAAAAAAAAAAAAAAAAAGGAUUUUUUUCUGCCAGUUCUUCCCCAGCAGUGUGGGGUUUGUUCUUCUGUAAUAAGGAAGGAUUUUGCCGGCUGCAUGAAUUGCCAUUUUUGACCCUCUUUUGGCUCUUGAAGAGUUGAGAAGAAACAGCAGCCACAGCCAAACAGGCCGCAGCAACAAAGUGAUGCAAUGGGCCGCAAAGCCUGUUUUUCAAUACUGAUCUGGCGUGAAUGUAAUCUGUAAUUUCAUAAAGGAUUCAUUGUAAUUUAGUAUUAAUUCAUGUCAUUUAUUAUAAAGUGCUACGAGAUGAGGUUUUGCAGCUGUAUUUUAUUGUCAGCUUCUUUCCAGUGGAGGUGAGGGUGAUGAAGGACAAGUGGAGCACCAGAAUGGGUGAAUAACACCAAAAUGGGCAACCCAUAAAUAGGCAAAUUCUCCUAAAAUGAGUGAAUUGCUUCAAAUCCACAGAUGAGUGAUGCAACCCCAGAAGGAUUCGCCCUCUGUGAAGAACUCUGAAACUGGGUGAUUUACCACCAGUAUGAACUAUGCUUCCCCAAAAUGAGGGACUAUCCCCAAAUAUGAACUCUGCUCUCCAGAAAUGCAAUGUGCCUCCAAAUGAGUGACCCUCUCCAAAAUCAGUGGGAGCUGCCCUGACACCAAAAUAAGCACUGUGCCGCCGAAUGUUGCUUCCCAAAAAUGAGGAAUGCUCUCCAAAUAUUAUUAACAGUACCCAGAAUUGGUCUCUUCCCCCAAAAUGAGUGCCUUUUCCCCCAGAUGAGCACCCAAAAUAAGUGACACACCCCAAAGCAGCGUGAUUCUUCCCAAAAUGGAAUCCUUGCCUAUUAAGCACCCAGCAGCUUGUUACCCCAAAAUAUGCCUAUUUUGCAAAAUGCUGAAUAAUCAUGACCCACAAAAAGUACAUUUUUCUACCCCAAAGCUGCAAAACACAGCUUUUUUUACCCUGCGUAAUGCAGGAUGAGGUGGUUUUGGACCUGCUCCAUCCCCUGGUUAACCGGGGAUGCCUCAGUGGAGUGGAGGCUGGAAAUGUGACACCCAUCUUCCAAAAAGGCUGGAAAGAUGAUCGUGGUAGCUACAGACUUGUCAGUCUCAUCUCAGUGCCAGGGAAGGUUAUGGAAUGGAUAAUCUCAGGAGCCAUCACGGAUCAAUUAAAGGUCAGCCAGGGGAUCGAGUCCAGUCAGCGCGGGUUCGUGAAUGAUAGAUCCUGUUUGACAAACCUGAUUUCAUUCCACGACAAGGCAAAUUCUCCCCACUCCCUGCAACACCAUGUGAUCAGCAAAGGAAGCUGCAAAGCUGGAAAUGAAACAGCCCAUCUGCACCUCAAUCACAGCAACAGCUGAUGUGUGGAAUCAAACUCUGUAACUCAAGGACGUCUGCAAUUCAUCUAGUCAGUGAAAAAGCUCUGUAACAGAAAUGCUAAGUCACAGUCUGAACCAGUGAUUGAAGACCUGGUGGGAAGGCAGGGCCAGCCCCGAGCAGCUCAGGUACAUGCAAUGCACUGAGCGAUGGAAGGACUGGAACCAGGAUUAAACCCUUCCCUGACCUCAUUUAAGAGUUGGCAGCAGAGGAAAAAUGUAUCUUGCUGGAGAUCCUUGCCUACUUGAGGCCUUUCAAGGUAAGCUGCUUUUUUUUUUUCCCCCCCAUCUCUGUUUGUUUCAGGUUGCUGAAACAGCUGCUGCAUUUGGGCUUGUUCUCAUUUGCUGCAACCAAAGAAUUUGCCACCCCACUACUAUCACUGUACUUUCCAUUACAUUAUAGCAUUACAAGCUCCACAGAGCAGAUGAGUCUGUAGGUCAGAGCUCACCAAAAGAUCCCAAUUAGUUUAGAGAACAGAUCUUGGUCCUGAUGGCUUUGUUUUUAGCCAGUAUCUGCAAAACAUGUUACAGAGGACUGCACUUGCUUCAGAGACUAAAAGUUUUAAACAGGAAAAGGUUUAAAAAAAAAAAAACAACAAAAAAAAAAACA